AGCAUCGUAAGGGCUUGGAAACACCACAAUAGUAAUCUGCACAAAUGGUGUCUCUGAUUUUCUAAACUGUUUGUUUUGUUUUGACAGACGAUCACAUUCGACGAGCCUCAAGACGAGCUCGAGUCCACUUUAUCCAACGCUAUUUACAAUCUAGACACGUCGAUGAUUAAGAAGAAGAACGACUGAGAGAGAGAGAGAGAGAGAGAGCAAUAGCCUGUGUUUGUUUGGUUUGUACGAAUAGAUAGACCGAUCAAAGGGAAAUUCUCUGCUCAUCAUCUGAAUACGGGGUCAUCAAAACCCAAUUUUCAUCUUAUUUUUUGAGAUUUCGUUCCCACCUUUACUUCUUUUCUGAUUCAUUUUUUCUUAUAUUGCUUUUGCAGGGAAGUUUGAGUAUCUUAGAGGCAAAGGUUGCGAAUUUGUAGGUAAUUGGGUUUUGAUAAUGUUAUGGGCUCAAGCAGGGUUGAUGAGGAUGCUGAACCUGUUUUAAAAUAUGGACACAGAUUGACCGAAUGGGGAGAAAUGAUACAGCUGUGGAAGAGGAAGUUAGAUAUCGGUUUAGUAUUGUCAUUUGCACUACAGGAAAUCAUUCAUACAAGACAAUGCUCAGAGAGAUUCACCCUUAAUAUUUGAACUCGAGGCUACUUUGAAUUGGCAAGGCUCCUUUGCAGGUGAAAUUAGCAAGAAAUUUUUUUAAAGGAUGAAAGACCUGUAGAUUUGGAAGGUACUUGGAUGAGCCAGUCAGAAUUGUCAGGAAGCUGUUGCAGCCUGGGGUCUAUCUGAAAUUGAUUGAUUUGUGUCUUGAAGGUAAGCAAUCACUUUACCCUAUUCUAAAAUUGUGUACAAUGAAAGGUCGUUGCUUUAAUUUCAUUACUUCUUCAUAGUUUCUGCUAAAACCGAAUGAUUAGUACAUUAUCAGCCUAUUGUUUUCUUAUUAUUAUCUCCUUUGUACAUCCUCUUUUUGGAUUUCAACUACUUUUCCAUUCCUAUUAUUGUUAGUAUUUGGAUUGAACAGGGACAAAAUUUACUCUUCGAACGAUAUGAUCUGUUUGCUUUCCUCAUUAUAGAUGUGUAUACCAAUUUAGACUUGGAAGAAUAAACAUCUGAUAGCUUUGUUUUCUGUAAUGAUUAAAUGAAGAACAUCCUCUUUGAAUUGCAUCAUUGAUUGAUUGAUGGGUUGAAUACUUUUUGGUAUAAUUCAAAUAUCUUAACUACUAUUUAGAAGUGCCUCAGCAUUUUUUUUUUCCUUUAAUGGCAUUUAUAGAUAGUAGGGUCUAGCUUUUUGUUUAUUCAUGUUGACAUAUUGGGUUUGGAAUGAAGUAGUUUUCUUCCUUUCUUUAUUUUUGGUGGUAUUUGGGUCUUGGCUAGAUGGUUAUAUAUGUAAUAGAGCUUGGUAGCUGAAAAUAUCUUCGGGUACUAUUAGAAAUAUACUGAUUUGAUAAUGGUUAUUUGUUUAUGUGUUCUUGGGUUGUUUGUUCGAGUCUGUGAUGGGCAUUGAAGGAAACUAACAAUGUGCGGUGGUAUGUGACAACUAACUGUGUGCUAAAAUUUUGACUCAGCCGGGCAGGUCUUUGUGGUUCCAAGGGGACUCCCAUGCCUCUGCGACUUUGAACAGUCACUUGCCUGUGUCUUUUGUCCUCCCUUUUUAUGUUUUC
Long non-coding RNA from Rosa rugosa (rugosa rose), 1652 nucleotides. RefSeq lists it as uncharacterized. NCBI's taxonomy places the organism in Eukaryota, Viridiplantae, Streptophyta, Magnoliopsida, Rosales, Rosaceae. The record is from RefSeq and is a predicted model, not a curated record. The transcript has 5 exons.